Molecule: ribosomal RNA, 496 nt
Filed under: uncultured bacterium
Lineage: Bacteria
Description: partial 16S ribosomal RNA
Rfam family: Bacterial small subunit ribosomal RNA
Source: RNAcentral
AUGAACGCUGGCGGCGUGCCUAAUACAUGCAAGUCGCGCGAACAGACGAGGAGCUUGCUCCUCUGACGUUAGCGGCGGACGGGUGAGUAACACGUGGAUAACCUACCUAUAAGACUGGGAUAACUUCGGGAAACCGGAGCUAAUACCGGAUAACAUGUUGAACCGCAUGGUUCAACAGUGAAAGACGGUCUUGCUGUCACUUAUAGAUGGAUCCGCGCCGCAUUAGCUAGUUGGUAAGGUAACGGCUUACCAAGGCAACGAUGCGUAGCCGACCUGAGAGGGUGGUCGGCCACACUGGAACUGAGACACGGUCCAGACUCCUACGGGAGGCAGCAGUAGGGAAUCUUCCGCAAUGGGCGAAAGCCUGACGGAGCAACGCCGCGUGAGUGAAGAAGGUCUUCGGAUCGUAAAACUCUGUUAUUAGGGAAGAACAAAUGUGUAAGUAACUAUGCACGUCUUGACGGUACCUAAUCAGAAAGCCACGGCUAACUACGUG